Molecule: ribosomal RNA, 585 nt
Filed under: Colletotrichum sp. ETHCTR032
Lineage: Eukaryota; Fungi; Ascomycota; Sordariomycetes; Glomerellales; Glomerellaceae
Description: eukaryotic LSU rRNA
Rfam family: 5.8S ribosomal RNA (bases 224-377)
Source: RNAcentral
AGUAAAAGUCGUAACAAGGUCUCCGUUGGUGAACCAGCGGAGGGAUCAUUACUGAGUUUACGCUCUAUAACCCUUUGUGAACAUACCUAUAACUGUUGCUUCGGCGGGUAGGGUCUCCGUGACCCUCCCGGCCUCCCGCCCCCGGGCGGGUCGGCGCCCGCCGGAGGAUAACCAAACUCUGAUUUAACGACGUUUCUUCUGAGUGGUACAAGCAAAUAAUCAAAACUUUUAACAACGGAUCUCUUGGUUCUGGCAUCGAUGAAGAACGCAGCGAAAUGCGAUAAGUAAUGUGAAUUGCAGAAUUCAGUGAAUCAUCGAAUCUUUGAACGCACAUUGCGCCCGCCAGCAUUCUGGCGGGCAUGCCUGUUCGAGCGUCAUUUCAACCCUCAAGCUCUGCUUGGUGUUGGGGCCCUACAGCUGAUGUAGGCCCUCAAAGGUAGUGGCGGACCCUCCCGGAGCCUCCUUUGCGUAGUAACUUUACGUCUCGCACUGGGAUCCGGAGGGACUCUUGCCGUAAAACCCCCCAAUUUUCCAAAGGUUGACCUCGGAUCAGGUAGGAAUACCCGCUGAACUUAAGCAUAUCAU